This is a long non-coding RNA of Glycine soja, 654 nucleotides long. RefSeq lists it as uncharacterized. The transcript has 2 exons. The record is from RefSeq and is a predicted model, not a curated record. Lineage: Eukaryota; Viridiplantae; Streptophyta; Magnoliopsida; Fabales; Fabaceae.
CCAUCCCUUAACAGUGACAGGUGUGAGCACUAUGUCUCUUCUUUGAGCAGAGUUGGCAAAUAGUGUUGGAGUAGGAAGAGAUAAGAUGCUUGCCAAAUAGUGCAUGACGAUCCACACGUCCUUUAGAGAAGAUGUGUGUGGUAGAACUUGUGCUUUUCUGGGAAUCAUGAUAUCCCUGUGACAUUUGGGAUAUAGUGAGAAAUUUGGGCAUGCUUUGAGUUCAACAUCUCUGAUGAAGGACUUCUUUCUUUGUUAAAGGUAUCAUUGAGGAUGAAUGGUCACAACUCCAAAAAUAAAUGUCGCAUUCCACAAUCUAAAGGAAGUAAGUGAGCUGUUGUUUCUUCCUCGAACCUCCUUCACCAUACAAAUCAUUCCAGUGCUUCAACUCAUUCAUUACAGAUCCUUCUGAUGCAAAACUUGCAGCCUCUUGCAUUUAAUCAGAUAUCCGUAGUGCGAUGACUGGAGUAUUUUCUACGUCUUUCUUUGUUUUGUUCCAAUGGAGUCGUGUAAGGACCAUAUUACUUAUAAAAAAAUUUCAUACUUAAUUGUUUUUUAUGUAAUGUGAUGUUGAUUGGAGUGCUUCUUAAGUCUUUCUUUGUUUUGUUUCCGGAAAGUCAUACUAGGGCAUGCCACUUAAUAAAAAUUAAUUUCCAA